Molecule: ribosomal RNA, 425 nt
Filed under: uncultured bacterium
Lineage: Bacteria
Description: partial 16S ribosomal RNA
Rfam family: Bacterial small subunit ribosomal RNA
Source: RNAcentral
GUGGGGAAUAUUGGGCAAUGGGCGAAAGCCUGACCCAGCAACGCCGCGUGAAGGAAGAAGGUUUUCGGAUCGUAAACUUCUAUCCUUGGUGAAGAUAAUGACGGUAGCCAAGAAGGAAGCCCCGGCUAACUACGUGCCAGCAGCCGCGGUAAUACGUAGGGGGCAAGCGUUGUCCGGAAUGACUGGGCGUAAAGGGCGCGUAGGCGGCCCGGUAAGUCUGAAGUGAAAGUCCUGCUUUUAAGGUGGGAAUUGCUUUGGAUACUGUCGGGCUUGAGUGUAGGAGAGGUAAGCGGAAUUCCCGGUGUAGCGGUGAAAUGCGUAGAGAUCGGGAGGAACACCAGUGGCGAAGGCGGCUUACUGGACUGUAACUGACGCUGAGGCGCGAAAGUGUGGGGAGCAAACAGGAUUAGAUACCCUGGUAGUCC